AAAAUGCCAAAAGAGAUUUUCAUUUUUGAGGAGAUAUUCUUCAAUAUCCUGGAUUAAUAUUUCCUCACUAUGAU
Molecule: long non-coding RNA, 74 nt
Organism: Myripristis murdjan (pinecone soldierfish)
Lineage: Eukaryota; Metazoa; Chordata; Actinopteri; Holocentriformes; Holocentridae
Exons: 3
Source: RefSeq, a predicted model, not a curated record